RNAcentral lists this ribosomal RNA (603 nucleotides) under Melampsora sp. PZ-2013. Its description in RNAcentral is "eukaryotic LSU rRNA". It matches the Rfam family "Eukaryotic large subunit ribosomal RNA", at positions 73 to 660 of the family's 3401-position model. The record is from RNAcentral. Lineage: Eukaryota; Fungi; Basidiomycota; Pucciniomycetes; Pucciniales; Melampsoraceae.
AGUCCCUUAGUAACGGCGAGUGAACAGGGAAAAGCCCAAAUUUGUAAUCUGGCACUUUUUACAAGUGUCCGAGUUGUAAUUUGUAGAACUGUUAUCCGUGCUGGACCAUGUACAAGUCUGUUGAAAAGCAGCAUCAUUGAAGGUGAAAAUCCUGUAGAUGAUAUGGACUACCAGUGCAUUUGUGAUACGGUUUCUAAGAGUCGAGUUGUUUGGGAAUGCAGCUCAAAGUGGGUGGUAAAUUCCAUCUAAGGCUAAAUAUAAGUGAGAGACCGAUAGCAAACAAGUACCGUGAGGGAAAGAUGAAAAGAACUUUGAAAAUAGAGUUAACAGUACGUGAAAUUGCUGAAAGGGAAACGUUUGAAGUUAGUUUUGUAUUCGUUGGAUCAGCUUCGCAAGGAGUGUAUUCUGAUGAUAAGCAAGUCAACAUCAGUCUAUGAGUGUUGGAUAAGGGUUUUGGGAAUGUAGCAAUUUAAUUGUGUUAUAGCCUGAGACUUGGAUACAAUGCUUUGGAUUGAGGAACGCGUAGCAAGCUUUGAGCGGAUUCGAAAGGAUCUCCUUGCUAUGGAUGUUGGUGAAAUAACUUUAAGCGACCCGUCUUGAAAC